GUAAAAGCUAUGAACAGAAGAGUAAUAUCAAUGGAACGCAGAGAGAAUUCCUGGCUGGUGUAAAGGAAUGGGGAAGUUGAUAUGAAUAAAGACUGGGAGCUGUAUUUUGGAUCUAACGUGAUAAAAUAACGUGUUGCCGCGUUAAGGCUUAAUGAGGUCUACUUAUGUAGAUGAAUAAGGGUGGUACCACGGUUAACUCUCGUCCCUAGC
Molecule: non-coding RNA, 210 nt
Filed under: Catenibacterium sp.
Lineage: Bacteria; Bacillati; Bacillota; Erysipelotrichia; Erysipelotrichales; Coprobacillaceae
Description: T-box sequence
Rfam family: T-box leader
About the family: Uncharged tRNA acts as the effector for transcription antitermination of genes in the T-box leader family. T-boxes are found upstream of many aminoacyl-tRNA synthetase genes and some amino acid biosynthetic genes usually in Gram-positive bacteria. The anticodon of a specific tRNA base pairs to a specifier sequence within the T-box motif, and the NCCA acceptor tail of the tRNA base pairs to a conserved bulge in the T-box antiterminator hairpin.
Source: RNAcentral